Molecule: ribosomal RNA, 388 nt
Filed under: uncultured bacterium
Lineage: Bacteria
Description: bacterial SSU rRNA
Rfam family: Bacterial small subunit ribosomal RNA
Source: RNAcentral
AUUGAACGCUGGCGGCAUGCCUUACACAUGCAAGUCGAACGGCAGCGCGGGGCAACCUGGCGGCGAGUGGCGGACGGGUGAGUAAUAUAUCGGAACAUACCCUAGAGUGGGGGAUAACGUAGCGAAAGUUACGCUAAUACCGCAUACGCACUAAGGUGGAAAGUGGGGGAUUCGCAAGAACCUCAUGCUCAUGGAGUGGCCGAUAUCUGAUUAGCUAGUUGGUGAGGUAAAGGCUCACCAAGGCGACGAUCAGUAGCUGGUUUGAGAGAACGACCAGCCACACUGGAACUGAGACACGGUCCAGACUCCUACGGAGGCAGCAGUGGGAAUUUUGGACAAUGGGGGCAACCCUGAUCCAGCAAUGCCGCGUGAGUGAAGAAGGCCUCGG